UAUCUCUGUAGAGUCUGCAUAUCAAUAAGCGGAGGAAAAGAAACUAACUAGGAUUCUCCUAGUAACGGCGAGUGAAGCGGGAAGAGCUCAAAUUUGAAAUCUUAAAGGGUUCUACCUUGACGAAUUGUAGUUUAAAGAAGUGUUUUCUGUUGGAGUUUUGGUAAAGUUCUUUGGAAUAGGACAUCAUAGAGGGUGAGAAUCCCGUAUUUGACCAUUAUUUCCAGCUUUGUGAUACACCUUCAAAGAGUCGGAUUGUUUGGGAAUGCAGUCCAAAAUGGGUGGUAAAUUUCAUCUAAAGCUAAAUAUUGGCGAGAGACCGAUAGCGAACAAGUACCGUGAGGAAAAGAUGAAAAGAACUUUGAAAAGGGAGUUAAACAGUACGUGAAAUUGUCAAAAGGGAAGCGUUUGACACCAGUGUUGUUUUCUCGAAAAUCAAUUAAAAAAAGUUGGAUUUUGUAUUGUUAAGACCUUAUCAGCUUACUGUACUCUUUUCUUGCUUUUUUUAAUGCACUUUUCGUUUAACAAGUCAACAUCAAUUUCUUUUGUUGUAAAAGAGUCAUUGGAAGGUGGCUUUCACUUCGGUGAAAGUGUUUAUAGCCUUUGGCCUCUGCAAUCGGAGAGAUUGAGGUCUGCAGCGUAGAUCCUUCGGGGUUAGAUACAUUUGUGCUAAGUUAUAGCCUUUCAUAGGCAACUUGUUGACUAUGAUCAGUCAUGUAGCUUACUCGCUUAUGCUAUUUUACCUACGCUUAGGAUGUUGACGAUCAGCUGAGCGCG
RNAcentral lists this ribosomal RNA (774 nucleotides) under uncultured Neocallimastigales. RNAcentral's name for it is "partial large subunit ribosomal RNA". It matches the Rfam family "Eukaryotic large subunit ribosomal RNA", at positions 24 to 634 of the family's 3401-position model. Lineage: Eukaryota; Fungi; Neocallimastigomycota; Neocallimastigomycetes; Neocallimastigales. The record is from RNAcentral.